This 253-nucleotide ribosomal RNA is filed under the name uncultured bacterium. RNAcentral's name for it is "partial 16S ribosomal RNA". It matches the Rfam family "Bacterial small subunit ribosomal RNA", at positions 524 to 776 of the family's 1533-position model. The record is from RNAcentral.
UACGUAGGGGGCUAGCGUUGUCCGGAAUCAUUGGGCGUAAAGCGCGCGUAGGCGGCCCGGUAAGUCCGCUGUGAAAGUCAAAGGCUCAACCUUUGAAUGUCAGCGGAUACUGCCGGGCUAGAGUCCGGAAGAGGCGAGUGGAAUUCCUGGUGUAGCGGUGGAAUGCGCAGAUAUCAGGAGGGACACCAACGGCGAAGGCAGCUCGCUGGGACGGUACUGACGCUGAGGCGCGAAAGCGUGGGGAGCGAACAGG